Molecule: ribosomal RNA, 424 nt
Filed under: uncultured bacterium
Lineage: Bacteria
Description: bacterial SSU rRNA
Rfam family: Bacterial small subunit ribosomal RNA
Source: RNAcentral
GGGGAAUUUUGGACAAUGGGCGCAAGCCUGAUCCAGCCAUGCCGCGUGAGUGAAGAAGGCCUUCGGGUUGUAAGCUCUUUCGGCGGGGAAGAAAUGGCGCUUUCUAAUACAGGGCGUUGAUGACGGUACCCGCAUAAGAAGCACCGGCUAACUACGUGCCAGCAGCCGCGGUAAUACGUAGGGUGCGAGCGUUAAUCGGAAUUACUGGGCGUAAAGCGUGCGCAGGCGGUUGUGUAAGUCAGAUGUGAAAUCCCCGGGCUCAACCUGGGAACUGCAUUUGAGACUGCACGGCUAGAGUGUGACAGAGGGGGGUAGAAUUCCACGUGUAGCAGUGAAAUGCGUAGAGAUGUGGAGGAAUACCGAUGGCGAAGGCAGCCCCCUGGGUUACUACUGACGCUCAUGCACGAAAGCGUGGGGAGCAAAC